CCUACGGGAGGCAGCAGUAGGGAAUAUUGCUCAAUGGGGGAAACCCUGAAGCAGCAACGCCGCGUGGAGGAUGAAGGUUUUAGGAUUGUAAACUCCUUUUGUUAGAGAAGAUUAUGACGGUAUCUAACGAAUAAGCACCGGCUAACUCCGUGCCAGCAGCCGCUGUCAUACGGAGGGUGCAAGGGUUACUCGGAAGGAAUGGGCGGAAAGAGUUCGUAGGAGAGGUAAUAAGUCAGAUGUGAAAGCCUGUAGCUUAAAUACAGGACUGCAUUGGAAACUGUUACUCUGGAGUGUGAGAGAGGUAGGUGGAAUGCUUGGUGUAGGGGUAAAAUCCGUAGAGAUAAAGAGGAAUACUCAUUGCGAAGGCGACCUGCUGGAACAUUACUGACGCUGAUGCACGAAAGCGUGGGGAGCAAACAGGAUUAGAUACCCCUGUAGUC
RNAcentral lists this ribosomal RNA (440 nucleotides) under uncultured bacterium. RNAcentral's name for it is "partial 16S ribosomal RNA". It matches the Rfam family "Bacterial small subunit ribosomal RNA", at positions 338 to 795 of the family's 1533-position model. The record is from RNAcentral.